RNAcentral lists this long non-coding RNA (350 nucleotides) under Elaeis guineensis (African oil palm). Its description in RNAcentral is "long non-coding RNA (EGUI_LNC025613)". Lineage: Eukaryota; Viridiplantae; Streptophyta; Magnoliopsida; Arecales; Arecaceae. The record is from RNAcentral.
UCCACAGCAACAGGUGCCUGGACCAUGGACCCAUCGACGCACCAUAAACCAGCCAAUCAGCGAGUCUCGGCUCACCGCAACGCAUCGCGAGCCCGAUCCACGUGCGCGGUCCAGGGCUCAUGAGGUGAGAGAAGAAGGUCCGAAGGGCAACCUGGUAACUUCACAUCACUCGAUGGUCCGAUCUUCUCUGAUCAAGAUCCAACGCUCCACAUUUUUGCGCCAUCGGACGGCCACCAUCGCAGCCGGUCAAGAUCCAACCGUAAUCAAGGCAAUUGCAAGAAUCAAUAAACACUAGGACAACACGGGAUCCUUCUACAGCGCGAUCCAACGAACGAAAUCUUCCAGCGCCU